GCCCGCGUAGCUCAGCUGGAAGAGCACCGGUCCUACAAACCGGCUGUCCCAGGUUCAAGUCCUGGCGCGGGUA
RNAcentral lists this transfer RNA (73 nucleotides) under Actinoplanes digitatis. It matches the Rfam family "tRNA". Rfam says of the family: Transfer RNA (tRNA) molecules are approximately 80 nucleotides in length. Lineage: Bacteria; Bacillati; Actinomycetota; Actinomycetes; Micromonosporales; Micromonosporaceae. The record is from Rfam by way of RNAcentral. RNAcentral also lists the same sequence under 1 other name.